RNAcentral lists this unclassified non-coding RNA (1554 nucleotides) under uncultured fungus. RNAcentral describes it as "sequence contains 18S rRNA gene, ITS1, 5.8S rRNA gene, ITS2, 28S rRNA gene". The stretch from base 527 to 1554 matches the Rfam family "Eukaryotic large subunit ribosomal RNA", at positions 1 to 961 of the family's 3401-position model. The record is from RNAcentral. Lineage: Eukaryota; Fungi.
GGAAGGAUCAUUACAAAAUCUUUGUGGGGAGAGAGAUAGUGGGAGGAGGAGGGAGAGAGGGGGGAGAGGGUUGUAUUAUCAUAUAACAAUAUGAUGGUACUAGUCCUCUUCUCCCCUCCUUAUUUCCUCCCCUUCUCUAUAACGUCCCAACUUUUACGCUUGCUGUGUUUGACAGAGUAAUAUUGUGACUAUAAAAUGAGACAACUUUUAACAAUGGAUCUCUUGGCUCUUGCAACGAUGAAGAACGCAGCAAAAUGCGAUACGUAAUGCGAUCUGCAUGAACCUGUGAGUCAUCGAGUCUUUGAACGCAACUUGCGCCCUUCUAGGGCAUGUCUGUUUGAGUACCAUAUUCUCCUUGUCUCCCGUGAAAUAUAGGGAGGCGACUUGUCUGGUCAAUUUUAUGGCCAGAUUAAAGGUAGUUUCAUAUACUAAUGCCUCGUUGGGGCAGGUGGUGUAAGCCGAGCUAGAGGCCUAAUUGGUCUUAUCGGUGAACUCUUACCUCUUUGUGUCCCCUUCGAAUAAGCUUUGGUCUCAAAUCAGGCAAGACUACCCGCUGAACUUAAGCAUAUCAGUAAGCGGAGGAACAGAAACUAACAAGGAUUCCCUCAGUAAUGGCGAAUGAAGCGGGAAUAGCUCAAAUUUAAAAUCUCAGUGGGUAAUAUCACUGCGAAUUGUAGUCUAAAGAAGGUUAUGCAGGCCGUGCAGCGGACCAAGUUCCUUGGGAUAGGACGCCAGAGAGGGUGAGAGCCCCGUCAGUCCGUGUUGCCGAGCCGAGUCAGAGCCUCUCUACGAGUCGAGUUGUUUGGGAAUGCAGCUCAAAGUGGGUGGUAAAUCUCAUCUAAGGCUAAAUAUUGGCAAGAGACCGAUAGCGAACAAGUACCGUGAGGGAAAGAUGAAAAGCACCUUGAAAAGGGAGUUAAAUAGUGCGUGAAAUUGUUAAAAGGGAAGCGAUUGAGAUCAGUGUUGGGCCUAGUUCAAAUCCUUGCUUCGGUGAGGGUAGCGACUAGGUUCCGAGUCAAUGCUGGUUGUGGCCUCGCUGGACAUGCUUCGUGGGAAGGUGGGGUCACUCUUCGGAGUGGCUCUUUAUAGACCGCGAUAGUUGCAGUGACCGCGACCGGGUAAUUAUGGCUGUAACGUGCGAUGCGGAUAAGUAAUAUCUUUGAUGGUAGGACAGCAUGCUGACCUACCUCGGGUGAGCUAACCAAGUCGUCCUUAGCGGCCUGUCUUUGACAAAAUGGUCUUAAACGACCCGUCUUGAAACACGGACCAAGGAGUCUAACAAUGUUGCGAGCAUUAUGGUGGCAAACCAGAGAUGCGCAAUGAAAGUGAAAGCCUGCGAGCUUCGGCGCAGCAGGGACCGGCUUGGUAGUAUCCUACCAGGACCGAGUAAGAGUAGGAUUGUUGGGACCCGAAAGGCGGUGAACUAUGCCUGACUAGGAUGAAGGCGGAGGAAACUCCGCUGGAAGUCCGUAGCCGUUCUGACGUGCAAAUCGAUGGUCAAAGUUGGGUAUAGGGGCGAAAGACUAAUCGAACCGCCUAGUAGCUGGUUCCCUC